Molecule: ribosomal RNA, 484 nt
Filed under: uncultured bacterium
Lineage: Bacteria
Description: partial 16S ribosomal RNA
Rfam family: Bacterial small subunit ribosomal RNA
Source: RNAcentral
GACGAACGCUGGCGGCGUGCUUAACACAUGCAAGUCGAACGGAAAGGCCCUGCUUUUGUGGGGUGCCCGAGUGGCGAACGGGUGAGUAACACGUGAGUAACCUGCCCUUCACUUUGGGAUAACUUAAGGAAACUGGGGCUAAUACCGGAUCGGAGCUCCUGUUGCAUGGAGGGGGUUGGAAAGUUUCGGCGGUUGGGGAUGGACUCGCGGCUUAUCAGCUUGUUGGGGGGGUAGUGGCUUACCAAGGCUUUGGCGGGUAGCCGGCCUGAGAGGGUGACCGGCCACAUUGGGACUGAGAUACGGCCCAGACUCCUACGGGAGGCAGCAGUGGGGAAUAUUGCACAAUGGGCGGAAGCCUGAUGCAGCAACGCCGCGUGCGGGAUGACGGCCUUCGGGUUGUAAACCGCUUUCGCCUGUGACGAAGCGUGAGUGACGGUAAUGGGUAAAGAAGCACCGGCUAACUACGUGCCAGCAGCCGCGGUAA